AAAAAGGUUCCGGCCUCAGCCGGCGCACCUGGCGGAGGAGGAACCUCGCGACGCGCUCUCGGGCAUCGGUUUCUCCCAGCAAAGCUUGGAGGGUUUAGCUGCGCGGAGAGCUCAGCGAGCUCUUCUGUGUCUGUUUGGGGCGUGUGGGCUCCGGGAGCGUGAGGACCGGGAAGCUAGGAGGCUCCUUCCCUUCUGGCGGCUCCCUCACUGAGACCGGGCGGUUUGGUUGCGGGGGAAGUGGAGACGAGCCACCCUUGACCUUUGACUGCAAGAACUCACCUUGAGCAGGAUAGAGGCACGUGGACGGUGACCCUCGGGAUGCAAUAAAUGCUGAGACAGAUCAGCAAACAUUGAGUGGGCCAGACACUGUUCUGAAAAAUACGCAGUCGACUUUUGAACAGCACAGGCUUGAACUGCAUGCGGCCACUAAUACUCGGACUUCCUUCUGCCUCUGCCAUCCCUAAGACAGCAAGACCCACCCCUCCUGCUCCUCAGCCUACUCGAUGUGAUGAUGCCACCCUGCCAACUACUCAGCAGGGGCCUUCUGAUGGACACUGUGAGAGGACAAGACACAAAAGAAAUGUAUACAAUGGAGAAGACAAUGAUACAAAUGAUACAAAGGAGAAGACAAUGGGCUUCUCCUUUGCCCCUGAGACUUCCUUUGAAAAAUAAUUUGCAAAAUCCCGCUCCCUGUGCCUUGCUCUAGAGUUUGAAGGCUUGGGCCUGUGAACAGUGAGCUCUCAGGAGGCACAGAUCGCUCCCUUAGGCACCAUGCUUGAGACUUGACCACAUUUCAGGCUGGCUCCGCCUGCUCUAGGCUGUGUCUCUAAAGGUGGCCCCACCCCUGCCUUGCACUAAGUCUUUACUCAAGAAAAUGCAAUGCUACCAAACCACAAAAUGUGCAUUGUCCCAACCCAGCUUGCACCAAAUUGUUUUCAGGAAUUCUCUAGUGACCCCUUCUGUAAUUUCCAUUUCCACAUAAACCCCAGGCCCUUUUUGUUCCCCCUUCUUCACUUCCCCAGCAUCCCUUUUUGUUCUCUCUCUGUUCUCCCUUCAGAAGCCUCAGUCCCCUUUAAUUGGGGCUGAGUUCUGUCUGACCUGGAAUCUCCCCCAAAGCAGGAGUCUGAAUAAAACCUGUCUUGCCACCUUUCACAAGUGUUUUGCGCUGUGUGUGUGUGUGUGUGUGUGUGUUUUUUUUUUUUUUCAUUGAUAGUUCAAAUCCUAUUUCCUCUGGGUAUUGUCUGUGUGUCCUUGGGUGAAUCACUUCACUUCUCUGAGUCUCAACUUCCUCAUCUUCAAAAUGAGAACGUAGGUAGGCCCACCUUGCUGCAAGGUGAUGAGGGAAGGCCCUCGCCAGGGGCCUGUCACUCCUUACUCAGGAAUAAUCACUGACCCAUCCCCACAGUGCUGGAACUCUUCUAGGCAUUGGGAGUAGAGAGAAGCAACACAGAGUUCCUGCCCACAGAGAGUGGACUUUCUAGUGAAGAAACAAACAACACACAGGGAAACCUAUCUGUAUUUGUCUGUUUUCAUGCUGCUGAUAAAGACAUACCUGAGACUGGGCAGUUUACAAAAGGAAGAAAGGUUUAAUGGACUUACAGGUUCACAUGGCUGGAGAGGCUUCACAAUCAUGGUGGAAGGCAAGGAGGAGCAAGUCACGUCUUACAUGGAUGGCAGCAGGCAAAGAGAGAGCUUGUGCAGGGAAACUCCCAUUUUUAAAACCAUCAGAUCUCACGAGACGUAUUCACUAUCGCAAGACCAGCACAGGAAAGACCUGCCCCCAUGAUUCAAUUACCUCCUACUGUGUCCCUCCCACAACAUGUAGGAAUUCAAGAUGAGAUUUGGAUGGGGACACAGCCAAACCAUAUUACCAUCUUAAAAUAUCAAGCAGUGAAAGCAUGAUGAAGAAAGUUAACACAGGUGGAGGGAUGCAGGUGACCAGGAGGAGGAGGAGCUAUUUUCCAAGACCUCUCUGAUGGGGGACAUUUGCACAGGGAGCACCAUGUAGAAAUCUUGAGGGUUCACACUCCAAGCAAAGAGAAGAGCAAGUGCAAAGGCCCAGAGGCAGGAGAGCACUGGACCUGUUCCAGAAACCUCCAGCAGGCCAAUGUAGCUGAAACACAGCCAGGCACAGGGGCUGAGACAGGAGGUGGGCCAGGCCAUCUAGGGCUCAGGGACCAUGGUCAGGACUCUAUAUUCAUCCCAAAGGUGAUAGGGAAGCACUAAGGUUACAGUGUAACCAUAUCCAUGUCUCAAUCACCUGCCUAACUCUACUAGAAGGAGGGAACGUGUCAGUGCUGGUUGAAUUGUGACUUUCUCAUGGGGUAGGGGGUGGGUUAUAGGAACAUGAGAUAUAAAACGUACCAGAAAAGGUAUCCAACCUCUAGGCGUCCCCCUCCUUGGACACCUUCAGGUUCCAUGGCGAUAUGAUUUGGCUCUGUGUCCCCACCCAAAUCUCAUCUCAAAUCGUAAUCUGAGCAGUGGAGUAAUAUGAUCUAAGCUUUAUACAUCCUAUAUAUUUAACACCAUCUCAAAUUUACAAAAAAAGUUACAAGUAUGGGACAAAUAAUUUUUGUCCCUGAGUCAUCUGAAAGUAAGCUGCCAGCAUGAUGCCUGUCACCCCUGGACACUUUACUAUGCAUUUCCAACAAACAGAGAGAAUGACCAUCAAAAUCACGACGUUCACAACAUGCAUUUUUACCAUUUGAACCUCAGACCACAUUCAGGUUUCAUCCUUUGUCCCAAUAAUGUUCUUUAUAACAAAAGGAGCCAGGGUGGAAUCACACAUUGCCUUUAGAUAUCAAGCUCCUUUAGUCUCCUUCAGUCUGAAAUGUUUUCUCAGUCUUUCUGUGAUUUUCGUGACCUUGACUCUUUUGAAGAUGACUGGCCAAUCAUUUGAUAGAAUAUCCUUCAAUCUGCAUUUGUCUGACCUUUCACCCUGAUUAGAAUUAGGAUAUGCAUCUUUGGCAGAAAUAUCACAUGAAUGGCAAUGUGUUCUCUAGGUUGCAUCCUAUCAGAUGCACAAGAACUCAAUUUGUCCCAUGACUGAUGAUGUUCACCUGCAUCACCUGGUUAAAGUGGCAUCUGCCCACCUUCUCCAUUGUGAAGUUACUAUUUUUACUGUUCUUCCCUCUGCAGUUGAUAAUUAUUUUUAUAUAAAUAUCCUGUUCCUCAUGAAACCUUCAAUGUAUUCAGUUAUUAAUAACACUGUGGACUCCUGUUUUCCUGUUUUAUUCUGUGGGCCAUAAUUCUUAACUCUCAUUACUUAUUUGUAUUUAGAUUACUCCAGAAAUGUCCAGCAGUGGCUUCUGUGUUCUGGCAUGUUUCCAUCAUUGUUUGGGUGCUUAAUUUCUGGGUAACAAGAUGUUCUAGGCUCCUUUCUGCCUCAGUCCCAGAAUCAACCAUUUCUUCUAGGGUGCAUCUUCCUUUUAGUUGAGAUGAAAUUUGGAAUCCAAAACCUGGGUACAAUGUAGGCUCACUGCUUUUGGAAUGUCAGUGCCCUCAGGUUCUCUCAAUAGACAAAACUAAGGAAUAUAUGUGUUUAUAUACACAUCUAGUUGCAAGUAUACAUACAUGCACACAUCUUUCAUCUAUAUUUCUAUGUCGAUUUAGGUAUUGAAUGUUAUGAGUUCCUAUCAAUACCUCCAAUCGCAAUCCCCUCUACAAGGGUCUUUCCAGAUUCUCUCUUUCCAUAUUUGUAACUUGAUGCUCCAACAGCAAGAAAUCUUUCUCCUUUGCUUUUAAUAUAUUUGCCUACCUGAUGAGUCCCCAUGGGUAUAAAUAAUCCUCCAUCUCCAUUGCCAUUCU
Molecule: long non-coding RNA, 3807 nt
Filed under: Homo sapiens (human)
Lineage: Eukaryota; Metazoa; Chordata; Mammalia; Primates; Hominidae
Description: HSALNT0317935
Source: RNAcentral